CCCAGACUCCUACGGGAGGCAGCAGCGGGGAAUAUUGCACAAUGGGGGAAACCCUGAUGCAGCGACGCCGCGUGAGUGAAGAAGUAUUUCGGUAUGUAAAGCUCUAUCAGCAGGGAAGAUAAUGACGGUACCUGAGUAAGAAGCCCCGGCUAACUACGUGCCAGCAGCCGCGGUAAUACGUAGGGGGCAAGCGUUAUCCGGAUUUACUGGGUGUAAAGGGAGCGUAGACGGCAUGGCAAGUCUGAAGUGAAAGCCCGGGGCUCAACCGCGGGACUGCUUUGGAAACUGUUAAGCUGGAGUGCAGGAGAGGUAAGUGGAAUUCCUAGUGUAGCGGUGAAAUGCGUAGAUAUUAGGAGGAACACCAGUGGCGAAGGCGGCUUACUGGACUGUAACUGACGUUGAGGCUCGAAAGCGUGGGGAGCAAACAGGAUUAGAUACCCCAGUAC
RNAcentral lists this ribosomal RNA (446 nucleotides) under uncultured bacterium. Its description in RNAcentral is "bacterial SSU rRNA". It matches the Rfam family "Bacterial small subunit ribosomal RNA", at positions 330 to 793 of the family's 1533-position model. The record is from RNAcentral.